RNAcentral lists this ribosomal RNA (881 nucleotides) under Pestalotiopsis sequoiae. RNAcentral describes it as "eukaryotic LSU rRNA". It matches the Rfam family "Eukaryotic large subunit ribosomal RNA", at positions 32 to 939 of the family's 3401-position model. The record is from RNAcentral. Lineage: Eukaryota; Fungi; Ascomycota; Sordariomycetes; Amphisphaeriales; Sporocadaceae.
ACUUAAGCAUAUCAAUAAGCGGAGGAAAAGAAACCAACAGGGAUUGCCUUAGUAACGGCGAGUGAAGCGGCAACAGCUCAAAUUUGAAAUCUGGCCCUCGGGUCCGAAUUGUAAUUUGUAGAGGAUGAUUUUGGUGCGGUAUCUUCCGAGUUCCUUGGAACAGGACGCCUUAGAGGGUGAGAGCCCCGUACGGUUGAAUGCCUAGCCUCUGUAAAUCUCCUUCGACGAGUCGAGUAGUUUGGGAAUGCUGCUCUAAAUGGGAGGUAAAUUUCUUCUAAAGCUAAAUAUUGGCCAGAGACCGAUAGCGCACAAGUAGAGUGAUCGAAAGAUGAAAAGCACUUUGAAAAGAGGGUUAAAUAGCACGUGAAAUUGUUGAAAGGGAAGGAUUUGUGACCAGACUUUUUCUGGGCGGAUCAUCCGGGGUUCUCUCCGGUGCACUUUGCCCAGUAAAGGCCAGCAUCGAUUUUCGGCGGCGGAUAAAAGCAGUGGGAAUGUGGCUCCCCACGGGGAGUGUUAUAGCCCAUUGUAUAAUACGCUGCUGGGGAUCGAGGUACGCGCUUCUGCAAGGAUGCUGGCGUAAUGGUUAUCAAUCACCCGUCUUGAAACACGGACCAAGGAGUCGAACAUUUAUGCGAGUGUUUGGGUGUUAAACCCUCACGCGUAAUGAAAGUGAACGGAGGUGAGAGCCCGUACGGGUGCAUCAUCGACCGAUCCUGAAGUUUUCGGAUGGAUUUGAGUAAGAGCAUAACUGUUCGGACCCGAAAGAUGGUGAAMWAKGCGUGGAUAGGGUGAAGCCAGAGGAAACUCUGGUGGAGACUCAMAGCGGUUCUGACGUGCAAAUCGAUCGUCAAAUCUGCGCAUGGGGCGAAAGACUAAUCGAA